This 462-nucleotide ribosomal RNA is filed under the name uncultured bacterium. Its description in RNAcentral is "partial 16S ribosomal RNA". It matches the Rfam family "Bacterial small subunit ribosomal RNA", at positions 28 to 506 of the family's 1533-position model. The record is from RNAcentral.
GACGAACGCUGGCGGCGUGCUUAACACAUGCAAGUCGAACGGUGAACCUCUUCGGAGGGGAUCAGUGGCGAACGGGUGAGUAACACGUGGGCAACCUGCCCCCGGCUCUGGGAUAACUCCAAGAAAUUGGGGCUAAUACCGGAUGUUCACCGCUUCCCGCAUGGGUGGUGGUGGAAAGGGUUUCCGGCUGGGGAUGGGCCCGCGGCCUAUCAGCUUGUUGGUGGGGUAGUGGCCUACCAAGGCGACGACGGGUAGCCGGCCUGAGGGGGUGACCGGCCACCCGGGGAAUGGGACAAAGCCCAGCCUCCCACGGGGGGCAGCAGGGGGGAAUUUUGGGCAAGGGGCGGGAGCCUGCCGCAGCGACGCCGGGGGGGGGAAGACGGCCUUGGGGUUGUAAACCUCUUUCAGCAGGGACGAAGCGAAAGUGACGGGACCUGGAGAAGAAGCACCGGCCAACUACGU